CCUUGUUUCCCUUGGUGUUUCUCCUCUUUCAUACCACCAGUCGGCACCUUUGAGAGAGCAGCUGGCUGGAUGCCACACAGUAGGUCACUGCUGCCACCCUCCUGUGCACUCUGCAGGGCCAGAGACCCUGCACAGGAUACAGGUCCACAACCCACACCCGCUCAACCUCAAAUGUGCCUCAUCACUGCCGAUCUGCCUGGCAAUCACUGGGCUACAUCUGGCCUUAACACAACUCAAGGCUCCUGAGCGAACCCCCCAGCACUACCCAGGCUCUGGGGAUCUUCCAGGGCUGGGGGGCCUGUGAGGAGUGGCAGUCAUGGAGGUACAGCUGUGUCCUCGACUACCUUCAGAAGACACAUUACUGAUAAUAGAAACUGCUUGUACUGCAGCAUCGCAGCGUGAGAUGUUUUAACUGUGACCCAGGAACAUCGUAGUGACAUCAAACAAGCUCAGUGCCUGACACCAGUGGUGAGCUUCUGUCGCUCUCUGAUGGAGAAAGUCUUCUGAACUCCUGCUGGAAUCGCGUUGCUCCAGGGGCGAGAGUCACACUCCCGUACUUUGACCCAUCGCAGUGAACUGACUGCGCUUUGGGCCAGGCUGUGGCAGAGACACAGCACUGCCUCAGCCGCUCCACUCAUCUGCCGAAAAAACAUACCCCUCUCAGCUGGAGAGCUUUCUACACAGCUUUCAUCAUUAGUUGCCCAGAAAGGGGUUGGCUGCAUAGACCAGGUUGCGAGAAAGUCGCUGCCCCGGUGCGGCUGGGAAUACUGCUCGCUGGUGACUCGCGUUCCCUCCAGCGGUCAGAGUCUGCCAGGCCUAACGCAGACCACAACCGUUGCCAUUCAGUCAAGGACUUUGCAGUCAAAUGAAGCAAAGUCAAACCACGCUGUGAGCGGUGUGAUGCCUCGCUGGAAUGGCUGGAUAGAGCAGAACAAAUGCCUGUUCUCAGGGAGUCAUUUUUAUAUUGGCAAUUGAAAACUCUCUGUUCAGUUCAGCACAUCAGUCUCCUAAAUUACACAAUACAUUUUCAGAACAGCCUGCAGAGCUUGAAAGAAUCCAGCACAGAAGCUUACAGGCCUGUUUCUCCUGCCUAGCUCAAGCUUAUCCUGGCAAAAAUAGGCUCUGCACCACAGUAAUUGAAAGGUAACCUUGGGGACUCAACACAGAGAAGAAAUAAGAGAGCUGUGCAGCUCACAACCUCCCCUCCAGGUGAGCCAUUAGAAAGGAAAUCAGAACAUAAAUUCUUAUAGGUUUGGAAAGUCCAGUGCAUUGCUUUUCCUUAGGCCUUCAUGGAGGAGGAGCAGGAAAGCAGACCAGAAGCACUGGGGAACCAUGUGGAGGGAAAGAGGCCACAGUACCAUCUUCAGCUUCUUUCCUACAACUGUGAGAGGUGGGUGUCUGAUUACAGAAAAUGAAAAGCAAAAGACAGCUCUUUUUUGGUAGAAUAGAUUUCUAAAAUGCACUCAAUAAUCAAUUGCUGCUGCUGCUGUUACAGAAGGCAGGGUCUUCCUGUGAAUUUCUGGGAUUUCUUCACAACAAGCAGAGUAAUUGUUAGGCAGUGGCUGCUAGGCUUGCAGUUCUACUGUCUAUGGCAUGGAUCAUGAGGAAGAGAAUGCUGUGUCAGCAGCAGAAGUGCUGCAGACCCCUUGCACAAACCUCUGCACUUGGUGGGACAACAGGCCCUGGCCGGGAAAAUCUAUUGCCACUUAACUGCAAUCGGAAAAGGAGAGAGCAUCAGGCACAUAGACCUGAAGCACAAUACACAGCCCAUCUUUGCGAGCCCGGCCCACCUCUGGCGAGCAGCGGAAUGAACCCACCAGAGGCAGUGGCAUUUUCCAGCCAGCCAUGCAAGCAACAGUGCAGGGUAUCAUGCCAGGGUCCUCGGGCCUUGUCUGCCACAUGUCCCUAGGGCACGGGACACUUCACCUCUGAGAACUUGUACCCACAAGCAACAUCCUCUGAGACCUACAUGCUGAGAGCUGUCCCAGGGAGCUUGUUAACAGCCUGGAGGUCUGGAUAGAGCUUGUGGAUAUGUGGUAGUCACCAAAUUCAUCUGGCACCCUGACCUCUGCUUAGUACCAGUUUUCAGGCACAAGCCUUGUUUGGGAUAACCCCAGGAUCUUGCUGUAAAUGCUGACCCUGGUAGUAUGUGCAUCAUCAUUCACAGGUCUUGGACCUUCUUCCCCACUCCAUCAGCCAGUAGGAUCUGGGCUCUCUUUGCUUUGGGUCACACAGAAAGGAAAGGUGUGUUCUCCAGUGAUUUCUGACUCCUGUGACUUGCAACCCAAGUCACUUCUCAUAGGAGGCUCCAUCAGCCUCCUCAUGGGAAAGAAAAAAUUCUUCGUGGAAAUCAUCAGCAAUAGGUGAUAGGGGAUAGAGCUCCUAGUGGAGAAGGUUGCACUGGGAUGCAGCCCUGGACUGUCAUCCUAUAAGCCAAUGCCAGGUUGUUGAAAUCUUCUCCAGGUCCCUCAUGUCUUCUCCAGCAGUGUGAUUUACCCCUCCAAAAGAUCAGCCCAGCAUCUUACAAUACCGCGUAUCUCCCCCAGCAUCACUGGCAAACCAGCCCCCAGGAGGAGAGCCCUGUGCAGGAUACAUGGCAAACUUGGGUGCCUCACAAAAUGCAUUUUGCUGCAUUUACUUCUAGUGCUGCAGACUACUUGCAGUGGAAUUGCUGCCUGUGGACGUGCAAAUUAGACUCCACCUGGCAAGGUGCUGGGGUGUUGGCUGGACUGCACUGGCCUGGUGGUAAGAACUGGGAAUUAGAGAUACCCCAUGUACUUAGCAAAGGGUAAUUUAACCUCUGUGUCCUUGCAAGUGAGGAGAAGACUUGCAAGGGUGAACUCUGGGACAUGCAAAGCUGUUACGCUCUGCUGACUUGGAACAGCAUUGAUCAGUUUGUGCCAGCUGCAGAUUUGGUGAGGAAACUUAAAGUACAGCAGAUUGAUUGCUACCAAGGGACAAAUUCCCUGUAGCUGGUUGGAUUCAAGCACUGAAGUACUGGCGUAUUGAUCUAUUUAUGGUGAUUUAUUAGUAAUAGCCCUGGACCCCAAACUCUCUUGUGCAGUUAUACAAGUAAAAAAGCAUGCUAUUGCCAGCCUAACCGAUAUCUUCCAGAGGAUAUAUAGAGGCUUAUAUACCUCUAUAUAAAGCCCGACAUUGUGGGCAUAUGCUGCAGACAGGAAAACAAAAGUGAUCCCAGGGCAAAAUGUAUCACAUAAACAGCCCCAGCAUGCUGGGUCCCAGGCAGCAGGAAGGUCUGGGGUGCUGUUGGGGCCCACAGAGUGGUUCCUCCUCUGAGACAAGGACCAGCUCCUUCCCUGCUCCAGCAACCUCAAGCAGGGGAAGGAUCCCUGCGAGGAGACGAGGGAAAUCUGGCAGGUGCCGAGCUGUUGGUGUUGGGUGCAGGCACUGCCUGUGCAGCCCACAGUGGGGUCAGCGGGAGCAGAGCAACACUUAAUGACCAGAAGGAAGCCACCACAUCCCCAGUGCGUGGAUCCUUCAUGGGUUUUGUUCCCUUUGCCAUGCACACUGCUUGAUAUCCCCUUGCCUGAUGAAAGCUGCCCGCUCACACCUGCCCCCUGCACAAGGUUGCAGAGUUGAGUACUUUAUCCCCUAAUUUGACUUGUUCUGGAAGGAGAACAGGACUUGUGAAAAGGAGAGGCCUCAAUGAGGGGCUGAAGCACAGGUUUGCACCCUGCAGACAUUUCCCAAGAGACAUCUCCCUCCCUUGAGCCCCAUCCACUAGCCUUGCUUGCCUUGGAGAUGGUCCCAGGGAGUCACAAGGGUUUAAAUGAGCUGCCCACGUGGGAAGAAUUGAGGUAGCAUAUAAACAUUCUGCAGCCCAAGAGGUUCUGCCAGCCCAGGCUCUACUCGACAGCAGCAGACCCAUCCGGGUACCUCAUGUGGUGCACUUUUCCUUUGGUUUUUUUUUUUUCCUAAUUUCAUGUUGAAUUUCACUGAUGUGAAUGAGUUUCUGAUGACUGAAAUAGCUGCUGACAUUUUACGCUCGAAAAAUGCUGUGAUGGCUUAAGUUGGCUUCUCUCCCCUUGCUCCAGGCAGGUGCCUGUUGCACUACUUGUCCCAGAGCUCUCCAGCCCUGCAGAAGGCGAGAGAGACAAAUGGAUGCUGGCUCUGUAUCCAGCACAGUCUGGGGCCAAUGUGAUAGUUUAAAUGGAAAUCUUUGUUUAAGUUAAUAAGCCAAGCUAUGAGCAGUUGAAAAAGUGGCGUGCAUCUGCUCCAGGGAUUAACCUGCAGCAGAAUUUGGAUAGUGGGGCUGCUGGAGUGUUAAAUCAUCCCCACAUGAACCACCGCUGUUGAGCUGGAAGCAGCCACAGGCACACACCACGCAUCAGCUGCAAGUGCUGCACAUUUGUAUCACUUUAUUUGCAACUAAUGAAAUAGCUAGAAACAUUUAUUGCGUAUAAAUUAUAUAUGAGCACCCAUCAUACAAAUAAACUCCUGUCUCAGCUUUCCAUUUCCUCCUUUAUCAGAAAGUCUUUUAUAUUUGGGACAGAUUCAGGAGUGCACAUCCCCUGGGCCUGUUUUGGUUAACUAGCAAGCUACUCUCCAGGUCUCUCCAAAACCCAUACGCACCUUUAGAGUAAGCACCUAUUUUAAUGUUUGAAGCAGCAGGAGAAGGAGAGGAGUUUCUAGCCAGCUCUUGUCUAGGCUUAACCUUCUUUCACUUGGAAAAUCUGGCAGAUUCCCCAUAUGCUGAGACAAAAUAAUAGCGAAAACCAGAAGUAAUCUGACACUUGUAAUUACAGGCCUACCAGCUCCUUAGUGACCUCAGACAGAACAAGGAAAUAGCACAUACAGAAAUCAUUUAAAACAAGGGAAGAGUUCUAGUUAAUGCCAAGUCUCAUGUGUUUAUGGAAAAGAAUCCAUAAAACUGCUUGGUGACUUUUGGAGAUGUAAGUUAUAGGUUUGGGUUAUGGAUUUGGCUGGUAAAUGUAAUAGCUGUUGAUGUAAUAGGGAUGCAGCAAGGAAUAUGAUACAGUUUUUUAUUUACAAAAAUAAUGAUAACAAAUUAACAAUUUUUGCAGUAAUUGGAUUGAAAAUUGACUUGCAAGCGAGAAAAUGUUUAAGUUGGUACAAGCACAUAACGUGUGUUUUAGAAACAGCCCAAUGGUAAGUUAUUCCACGUGGGCCACACUUCUGGUCUGGCAGCUCUGCCUGUGGAAGAAGUGACGCCAGCAAAGGCUUGACUCAUGGUGUUGGAGCAGCUGACUGUGAGCUCCCCGGGCAACGCUGCAGUCAGAAAGUCUAAUUCCACCCUCAGAUGUAUAAGCAGGGAAUGUGGAGCAGGUGUAAUGAGAUUAGAGUGCAGGAGGCUACAUCGUGUCUGCUCAUUCCAUGGAUGUGGUUACUGAUGUGAAAGGAUUCCCAGUUUUGACACCUACAAUUCAAGGAGGAACGUAACAACUUGGAGAGGCUUCCUGCAAGAGCUCUAAGGCCUGUUAAGGGAUUGGAAGACAUCUUAUGGAGGAGGAGCACUUAGGACUGAUAUGAUCCAAGCCUAAAUACACCUAUGUAGGAUUAAGUUUUUGCUCCUCGGAUUGCUGCUCUGCCCAACAAUGGUACAAGAAAAAACAGUGUAGAGAUGAGGUAUACAUUUUAUAGUGAAGAAAGCCAUUAAAUAAUUGAGCAGUUUACUUAGGGUGGUGGCAGCUUCCCAACCAUUGGCAGUUUUUGAAUUAAGACGGGAUGUUUAAUAAAAAAACAAUGAUUAAUG
Long non-coding RNA from Columba livia (rock pigeon), 5734 nucleotides. RefSeq lists it as uncharacterized. Lineage: Eukaryota; Metazoa; Chordata; Aves; Columbiformes; Columbidae. The record is from RefSeq and is a predicted model, not a curated record. The transcript is spliced from 2 exons.